AUUGUGCUUCCUUCGUCCCAAAAUUCUAAUCUUAUAUUUUUCUAAAUUUGGAUGUAUCAAGUCACGUUUUAGUAUUAGAUACAUCCGUAUCUAGACUAAUCUAAGACAAGAAUUUUGGAAUGGAGGGAGUAGUAG
Molecule: non-coding RNA, 135 nt
Organism: Triticum aestivum (bread wheat)
Lineage: Eukaryota; Viridiplantae; Streptophyta; Magnoliopsida; Poales; Poaceae
Source: Rfam